CUACGGGAGGCAGCAGUAGGGAAUCUUCCACAAUGGGCGCGAGCCUGAUGGAGCAACGCCGCGUGUGUGAUGAAGGGUUUCGGCUCGUAAAACACUGUUAUAAGAGAAGAACGGCACUGAGAGUAACUGUUCAGUGUGUGACGGUAUCUUACCAGAAAGGAACGGCUAAAUACGUGCCAGCAGCCGCGGUAAU
This 193-nucleotide ribosomal RNA is filed under the name uncultured Weissella sp. RNAcentral's name for it is "partial 16S ribosomal RNA". It matches the Rfam family "Bacterial small subunit ribosomal RNA", at positions 339 to 524 of the family's 1533-position model. The record is from RNAcentral. Lineage: Bacteria; Bacillati; Bacillota; Bacilli; Lactobacillales; Lactobacillaceae.